AUACGGAGGAUCCGAGCGUUAUCCGGAUUUAUUGGGUUUAAAGGGUGCGCAGGCGGCCAUUUAAGUCAGCGGUUAAAUCGUGGGGCUCAACCCCAUUCUGCCGUUGAUACUGGGUGGCUUGAUUGCGGUCGAGGUUGGCGGAAUUCGUUGUGUAGCGGUGAAAUGCAUAGAUAUGACGAAGAACACCGAUUGCGUAGGCAGCUGACCAGACCGCAAAUGACGCUCAUGCACGAAAGUGCGGGGAUCGAACAGGAUUAGAUACCCUGGUAGUCCGCACAGUAAACGAUGAAUACUUGUUUUCGGCGAUAUAAUGCCGGAGGCAAAGCGAAAGCGAUAAGUAUUCCACCUGGGGAGUACGCCGGCAACGGUGAAACUUAAAGGAAUUGACGGGG
RNAcentral lists this ribosomal RNA (392 nucleotides) under uncultured bacterium. RNAcentral describes it as "partial 16S ribosomal RNA". It matches the Rfam family "Bacterial small subunit ribosomal RNA", at positions 523 to 918 of the family's 1533-position model. The record is from RNAcentral.